This 253-nucleotide ribosomal RNA is filed under the name uncultured bacterium. RNAcentral describes it as "partial 16S ribosomal RNA". It matches the Rfam family "Bacterial small subunit ribosomal RNA", at positions 524 to 776 of the family's 1533-position model. The record is from RNAcentral.
UACGUAGGGGGCAAGCGUUGUCCGGAUUUAUUGGGCGUAAAGGGCGUGUAGGCGGCCAGGUAGGUCCGUUGUGAAAACUCGAGGCUCAACCUCGAGACGUCGGCGGAAACCCUCUGGCUAGAGUCCGGAAGAGGAGAGUGGAAUUCCUGGUGUAGCGGUGAAAUGCGCAGAUAUCAGGAAGAACACCCGUGGCGAAGGCGGCUCUCUGGGACGGUACUGACGCUGAGACGCGAAAGCGUGGGGAGCAAACAGG